This 64-nucleotide transfer RNA is filed under the name Entiminae sp. GENSP01. Its description in RNAcentral is "tRNA-Glu". Lineage: Eukaryota; Metazoa; Arthropoda; Insecta; Coleoptera; Curculionidae. The record is from RNAcentral.
AUUUGAAUAGUUUAAUUAAAACCUUAUAUUUUCAUUAUAAAAUUAGAAUUAUUUCUUUCAAAUA